Molecule: long non-coding RNA, 1275 nt
Filed under: Scleropages formosus (Asian bonytongue)
Lineage: Eukaryota; Metazoa; Chordata; Actinopteri; Osteoglossiformes; Osteoglossidae
Description: lncRNA (ENSSFOG00015024713.1)
Source: RNAcentral
UUAAACCUAUGAAUAUCUGCUGUUUUUAUCAUCUUAAUAUUACUUUUUAGGUUUCUCGAGAAGACUGAGCAUGUCACAUGACAGUCAGCCAGUGCUCCAAAGAUCCAUACCUUUGACUGCUGAUGAGGGACACUUAGAACUGAACUCCCAGAAAUCUCAUCUAUCGUCAACAACCGCUUGUCCCGACGAGCCGGAGCCUUACCUGGCAGCACUGGGCACAAGGCCGAAGGGGGAGGGGACACACCCAGGACAGGACGCCAGUCCGUCACUGCGCACUCCAAGCAGAGCUCGAACCCCAGACCUGCCGUGCCCUGCCAGCAAUCUCACUGUAUUUCUUUUUCUCCCACUGUGUGUACUGAAGUGUUAUCUUUUAUGGCUGAUUUAAUUAAACAACAUGACUCUAAAUGACAAAGACCUGCCUGUCAGGUCUGUGAGCUUGUUCCUAUUGACUUUGCCUUGGAGUCUCCUUUCCAUUCUCACCACUUCUCCAUGUCGCUUUCCUUUACAGGUGCCUCUUAUUUGAGGACCUGUCCGGGACCGAACUUAACCGAUACUAUGAUCUUAUCGUUUUGCGCGUCAAAAAGGUAAAACAUCUUUGUACUAUCAAUAUGACAUACAUUAACAGAGUGAUUGGUUAAUAAUGAUAAGGCAAUUACACGCACACUCAUGUCCAGGCUAUACCAUACAAUUCAAGCAGGUAUGAUUACACAAAUUGCACAUUCUGAUUUCAAGCAGAAAAUCACAAAACAUUUCAAGUCCAAACUAAAAAAAGAGAAAUCCAGUCAAAGGCUGCCUAAGGUUACAAUACAUUUCCAUCAUGUUUAAAUGCGGCCCAUGAUUUAACAUACCAACCUCACAAUGAACAGUUCUGUUAUUGUGUCAGGCAAUAUGUUUUCGCCAAUAAGAACGGCAGUAAGACAAACUAACACUGAAUCACUCGCACAGCAGACGUCCUAGAAUCAGGGAGAGCCUCUGGCAUAAAAAGGCGGCCUUGUGUCUUAGCGAAGUGCACGCUGGAAAAACAGGAGACUGAGAAACCGUUCCAAAUUCUUCUGCCGCGUAAACAAUUUGUGUUCGUGGAGAGCCAUACUCCCCUUUCGUUAAUUCCGGUGAGGUAUACCUGUUCUUACCUAAGGGGGAGGUCUGAUGACAGGCUGGGAAGAGAAGGCUGGGCUGUUUCUCCGCAAUGUUUUGCUGCCUGGUUUGGAGCUGACAGAGUUGUAUACAAGGCCUGUACAAGGCCUUCCCCGGACUGGGUAACCGCUCUUAGGCUUC